AAUAAACGCUGGCGGCGUGCCUAACACAUGCAAGUCGAUCGAGAAAGUCCCUUCGGGGAUGAGUACAGUGGCGGACGGGUGAGUAACGCGUGAGAAUCUACCCUUCAGUGAAGAAUACCCUCGAGAAAUCGAGGUUAAUACUGCAUAAGUCCCUACGGGGAGAAAGGCGGCCUCUUUGCUGUCGCUGAAGGAUGAGCUUGCGUACUAUUAGCUAGUUGGUGAGGUAAUGGCUCACCAAGGCAAUGAUGGUUAACCGGCCUGAGAGGGUGUUCGGUCA
This 277-nucleotide ribosomal RNA is filed under the name uncultured bacterium. Its description in RNAcentral is "partial 16S ribosomal RNA". It matches the Rfam family "Bacterial small subunit ribosomal RNA", at positions 29 to 310 of the family's 1533-position model. The record is from RNAcentral.